UUUUUUUUUUUUUUUUUUUUGAGGUAUCAAAGCUCUGUACCAAAACCACCAGGGAAAACUGCUGAUCACAGAAAAACUGGGUUUAUUAAACUUGCUGAGCAAAAGAAAGCACCACCUUAAGAGUUUCAGUAUUCUCAAAAGGCGAGUCAGGGAAAGGUACUGCUCAUGUUCCAUGAGGUGUAGGGGUUGUCACAAGGUGAUCUGGGGCAGAAAUUAUUAAGUCGGUGCAAAAGUAAUUGGGAGCUGGGCAGGGAUAGGUUGAAAUUUGUAAUGAGAAGUCAGUGGUCUUAUCUUGGAACAUAUUAGUCUUAACCAGCUGGUAUCAAAACCCCUUAUGUUUAGUUUGCUAUGCAUGUCAUGGUUUGUACAGUUUAUCUGACCCAUUGCCAUCAACAUCCACAUUUUUCCACCCAACAUCAUGCUCUGUGCCAUUAAGAGCAUUGUUGAUGCCCUGCUUCCAUUGCCUACAGUUUUCCUUUGCAGUAGCUGGCUCCCAUUUUGAAAGUUUCAACGUCCAUGUGUGGUACAUCAUGACUGCUGCUUGGCUGAUGGUGAUUUUGAUAUGCCUCAUGAUUUCAGAAUUGACAGAAUGUGAAAAAAUUGUGCAAUUUAGAAUCAAUAAAAUAGAGUAAUAAUUUGAUAACAAUAAAGUCUAAUUCUCAUCUCGGAGAGUAGAACCAAUCAAAUGUUUAAACUCCCAUUAGAGAAGUAGUUAAUUCUGGGAGAUAAGUAAAAAAAGUAUCAUAAAACUACAGUGCAAAAAUAUUUACCCCCUUGUAGACAGAUCCUGACGACCCCUCUUCAAACCUAAAGGGCAGUUUUUAUUGUUUGUUUUGCUCUGAUCCUUAUAAUUGUAGCAUUAAUUUUAUUUCCUCAACUUAACAAUUAACUACUUUUUCAAGUCUUUUUCUACUGGGAAAGUAUCUUGUUCCCAAAGAAAUAAUCUAAACCAUGUAAAGAGACAAAGCCUGAAGUGUUUUGCCUGUAGAAUUGCUGUGCCACGGGAUGAAAUUAGAAAGGAUUAAGAUACUCAAAGGUACAUUUUUAAUUGGAUUUUUUAAUUGGAUGGAUUUGAACUUGGCUCCAUUGUAACUUGCCCAAUAAGCAUAAUGGUAGCUCCCAAGAAGUCAAGUCCAGCAGCAAUCAGGACUGUGACUUUUGGACUCACUGAUUUCCCAGAAAUGGUGUGUGUGCCUAUUCACAUACUGUGUGGGGAUGCGGAGGGAGAGAACCGAAAAUCUAUUUAUAUUGUUAAUAUUAUGCUUUCCUCUGAAAGAUUACCCAAAAUGUCAGGCUUACAGAUAAUGGCCACAUUGCCUUAUGACUAGAAUGGGUGAAGGAAGAAAUUUCAUAUAUUACCAGGCAAAUGAAGAGUUUUAGAAGCCCCAUACGGUGAACAGAUGUUAGGGCUCCAUUCCCUCUUGUGCCUGAUAGUAAUUCAAAUUAAAAUAAUACUAAGUCAGAAAAUGAGCUUUUAUUUCUCCAACAACAUUCUGAUUUCUCCAUGACUAUUUUGACACUUUUUUUUUUGAGAUAUGAAAAAUCUUGUUUCUUC
Long non-coding RNA from Homo sapiens (human), 1555 nucleotides. The record is from Ensembl. NCBI's taxonomy places the organism in Eukaryota, Metazoa, Chordata, Mammalia, Primates, Hominidae.